Long non-coding RNA from Frieseomelitta varia, 213 nucleotides. RefSeq lists it as uncharacterized. The transcript is spliced from 2 exons. The record is from RefSeq and is a predicted model, not a curated record. Lineage: Eukaryota; Metazoa; Arthropoda; Insecta; Hymenoptera; Apidae.
UUUUUCUUUUCCUUUUUUUUUCUUUUUCUUCUUCUUCUUCUUCUUCUUCCUGUUAAAGGUUAAAAGAAAAGCCUGGCUGGCCUUGAUCGUUGCCCCUCCUCACGUUCGCGAUAUCAUCGUUCGCGACUUAUGUCACCGAUGCGUCCGAAGAACACACGCACGCACACACGGCGAGGUUGUUACACGUUUCUCUUUUUUUUUUUUUUUUUCGUU